Molecule: ribosomal RNA, 460 nt
Filed under: uncultured bacterium
Lineage: Bacteria
Description: partial 16S ribosomal RNA
Rfam family: Bacterial small subunit ribosomal RNA
Source: RNAcentral
CCUACGGGUGGCAGCAGUGAGGAAUAUUGGUCAAUGGACGCAAGUCUGAACCAGCCAUGCCGCGUGCAGGAAGACGGCUCUAUGAGUUGUAAACUGCUUUUAUACGGGGGUAAAUCCCGAUACGUGUAGCGGGUUGAAAGUAUCGUACGAAUAAGGAUCGGCUAACUCCGUGCCAGCAGCCGCGGUAAUACGGAGGGUUCAAGCGUUAUCCGGAUUUAUUGGGUUUAAAGGGUGCGUAGGCGGUCGGAUAAGUUAGAGGUGAAAUCCCGGGGCUCAACUUCGGAAUUGCCGCUGAUACUGGUCGGCUAGAGAGUAGUUGCGGUAGGCGGAAUGUAUGGUGUAGCGGUGAAAUGCUUAGAGAUCAUACAGAACACCGAUUGCGAAGGCAGCUUACCAAGCUACUUCUGACGUUGAGGCACGAAAGCGUGGGGAGUAAACAGGAUUAGAUACCCGAGUAGUC